AGGAGGAACAACCGCAGUGGCGGGGCCAGCUCUGGAGCCCUGGAAUCAGCUCCUGCAGUAGCUCCAGAGCUCUCCGUCUGCAGGGCCUGGAGGCUCUGGGGCGGC
RNAcentral lists this microRNA precursor (105 nucleotides) under Canis lupus familiaris (dog). Its description in RNAcentral is "mir-8834 microRNA precursor family". It matches the Rfam family "mir-8834 microRNA precursor family". Lineage: Eukaryota; Metazoa; Chordata; Mammalia; Carnivora; Canidae. RNAcentral also lists the same sequence under 1 other name. The record is from Rfam by way of RNAcentral.